RNAcentral lists this non-coding RNA (97 nucleotides) under Streptomyces avermitilis. Its description in RNAcentral is "Glycine sequence". It matches the Rfam family "Glycine riboswitch aptamer". Rfam says of the family: This family represents the bacterial glycine riboswitch. Glycine riboswitches usually consist of two metabolite-binding aptamers domains with similar structures in tandem. RNAcentral also lists the same sequence under 1 other name. The record is from RNAcentral. Lineage: Bacteria; Bacillati; Actinomycetota; Actinomycetes; Kitasatosporales; Streptomycetaceae.
UGAAUCCGCGCGGGAGAGUUCCGGGUACGUGUGCCCGGACGCCGAAGGAGCAAGUCCCUCCCUUGAAUCUCUCAGGCCCCGUUACCGCGCGGGCGAG